Alligator mississippiensis (American alligator) is the source of this 362-nucleotide long non-coding RNA. RefSeq lists it as uncharacterized. The transcript is spliced from 3 exons. The record is from RefSeq and is a predicted model, not a curated record. NCBI's taxonomy places the organism in Eukaryota, Metazoa, Chordata, Crocodylia, Alligatoridae.
GGCCAGGGUUUUCUCCACUCCAUGCCUGCUGACCAGUUCAGAGGAUGAUAGAGACAGAGCCAAGUUGCAGGCCAUGGUCCGAGAAGGGAAGGCUGCAUCGAGGAAGUCAACUGACAACUCCAAUGGUGGUGUCACCAAGAGGACUUUGGCUUCCUUGACCACAGUGCACACUUCAAGGACAGAGGACUCCUGGGAAGGGAUGGCAUCCACCUCACACAGAGAGAGUUCAUCCAAUUAAAGAUGUCACCCACAAGAAUUCUGGCCUGCAGCAUAUUCUCUGGACCACCAUAGCAACAUCACAUCAACACUUAUCAACAAAGUAAUAAAUGAAACAUAAACAAUAAACAAUUACUGCAUAGUCA